UCGGGACUGCCUGGUACGCGAUGGCCGGUUGCAAUUUCUACCCUAAUGCUCAAAACCGGGAUCCGUUCCUCGCUGCUGAGUGUCUUCCGCCCAGUGCGGAAAACCGGACGCUCGCGACACGGAGCCCACCUGGUAAUACAGGGUUUAAAUUCACUGGCCACGUCGGCUGUGGCGGUCACCCC
RNAcentral lists this non-coding RNA (182 nucleotides) under Deltaproteobacteria bacterium. RNAcentral's name for it is "6S RNA". It matches the Rfam family "6S / SsrS RNA". From Rfam's summary of the family: E. coli 6S RNA was the first non coding RNA to be sequenced, but its function was unknown until recently. It consists of 184 nucleotides that fold into an extended hairpin structure with a large single-stranded internal bulge. Lineage: Bacteria; Pseudomonadati; Myxococcota; Myxococcia. The record is from RNAcentral.